GCUUAACACAUGCAAGUCGAGGGGCAGCAUGGUCUCAUUUUGCUAAGACUGAUGGCGACCGGCGCACGGGUGAGUAACACGUAUCCAACCUGCCGUCUACUCUUGGACAGCCUUCUGAAAGGAAGAUUAAUACAAGAUGGCAUCAUGAGUCCGCAUGUUCACAUGAUUCAAGGUAUUCCGGUAGACGAUGGGGAUGCGUUCCAUUAGAUAGUAGGCGGGGUAACGGCCCACCUAGUCUUCGAUGGAUAGGGGUUCUGAGAGGAAGGUCCCCCACAUUGGAACUGAGACACGGUCCAAACUCCUACGGGAGGCAGCAGUGAGGAAUAUUGGUCAAUGGGCGAGAGCCUGAACCAGCCAAGUAGCGUGAAGGAUGACUGCCCUAUGGGUUGUAAACUUCUUUUAUAAAGGAAUAAAGUCGGGUAUGCAUACCCGUUUGCAUGUACUUUAUGAAUAAGGAUCGGCUAACUCCGUGCCAGCAGCCGCGGUAAUACGGAGGAUCCGAGCGUUAUCCGGAUUUAUUGGGUUUAAAGGGAGCGUAGAUGGAUGUUUAAGUCAGUUGUGAAAGUUUGCGGCUCAACCGUAAAAUUGCAGUUGAUACUGGAUAUCUUGAGUGCAGUUGAGGCAGGCGGAAUUCGUGGUGUAGCGGUGAAAUGCUUAGAUAUCACGAAGAACUCCGAUUGCGAAGGCAGCCUGCUAAGCUGCAACUGACAUUGAGGCUCGAAAGUGUGGGUAUCAAACAGGAUUAGAUACCCUGGUAGUCCACACGGUAAACGAUGAAUACUCGCUGUUUGCGAUAUACUGCAAGCGGCCAAGCGAAAGCGUUAAGUAUUCCACCUGGGGAGUACGCCGGUAACGGUGAAACUCAAAGGAAUUGACGGGGGCCCGCACAAGCGGAGGAACAUGUGGUUUAAUUCGAUGAUACGCGAGGAACCUUACCCGGGCUUAAAUUGCAGAUGAAUUACGGUGAAAGCCGUAAGCCGCAAGGCAUCUGUGAAGGUGCUGCAUGGUUGUCGUCAGCUCGUGCCGUGAGGUGUCGGCUUAAGUGCCAUAACGAGCGCAACCCUUGUUGUCAGUUACUAACAGGUUCCGCUGAGGACUCUGACAAGACUGCCAUCGUAAGAUGUGAGGAAGGUGGGGAUGACGUCAAAUCAGCACGGCCCUUACGUCCGGGGCUACACACGUGUUACAAUGGGGGGUACAGAGGGCCGCUACCACGCGAGUGGAUGCCAAUCCCCAAAACCUCUCUCAGUUCGGACUGGAGUCUGCAACCCGACUCCACGAAGCUGGAUUCGCUAGUAAUCGCGCAUCAGCCACGGCGCGGUGAAUACGUUCCCGGGCCUUGUACACACCGCCCGUCAAGCCAUGGGAGCCGGGGGUACCUGAAGUGCGUAACCGCGAGGAGCGCCCUAGGGUAAAACUGGUGA
This 1424-nucleotide ribosomal RNA is filed under the name uncultured organism. Its description in RNAcentral is "16S ribosomal RNA". It matches the Rfam family "Bacterial small subunit ribosomal RNA". The record is from RNAcentral.